CACGUAGGGUGCAAGCGUUGUCCGGAAUUAUUGGGCGUAAAGGGCUCGUAGGCGGUCCGUCACGUCGGGAGUGAAAACUCGGGGCUCAACCCCGAGCCUGCUUUCGAUACGGGCGGACUAGAGGUAGGUUGGGGAGAACGGAAUUCCUGGUGUAGCGGUGGAAUGCGCAGAUAUCAGGAGGAACACCGGUGGCGAAGGCGGUUCUCUGGGCCUUACCUGACGCUGAGGAGCGAAAGCGUGGGGAGCGAACAGG
This 253-nucleotide ribosomal RNA is filed under the name uncultured bacterium. RNAcentral's name for it is "partial 16S ribosomal RNA". It matches the Rfam family "Bacterial small subunit ribosomal RNA", at positions 524 to 776 of the family's 1533-position model. The record is from RNAcentral.